ACACCUCAACUCUCAUGGCUUGCCCAUGAUGAGCUUGGACUUUGGGGGUUUUGCUGGCCUGCAGGUCGGCUCCUCUCAAAUGAAUCAGCUUGCCAGUGUUUGGUGGCAUCACGGGUGUGAUAACUAUCUACGCUUGUGGUUUUCCACCAGAUAACCUUCAGUGAUGGAGGUUCGCUGGGGCUCAUAAAUGUCUCUCCUCGGUGAGGACAGCUCUUUGAAC
RNAcentral lists this unclassified non-coding RNA (220 nucleotides) under uncultured Tomentella. RNAcentral describes it as "sequence contains ITS2". Lineage: Eukaryota; Fungi; Basidiomycota; Agaricomycetes; Thelephorales; Thelephoraceae. The record is from RNAcentral.